RNAcentral lists this long non-coding RNA (286 nucleotides) under Mytilus galloprovincialis (Mediterranean mussel). Lineage: Eukaryota; Metazoa; Mollusca; Bivalvia; Mytilida; Mytilidae. The record is from RNAcentral.
GCCAGCUGAAACAUGCAUCCUGAUGUGGGAGUUUCUCGCUGCAUUGAAGACCCAUUAGUGGCCUUCGGCUGUUGUCUGCUAUUUGGUCGGGUUGUUGUCUCUUUGACACAUUGGAUUCCCCAUUUCCAUUCUCAAUUUUAUAUAUACAAUUGCAUACAUGUAUGAACAUACAUGUAUAAUAUAUCAUGAGCUAGAUUUCCUUUAAUAUAAGAUCUUAAAAAGGAUCACCACCUUCCCGCCUUCAAAUUGUCGUCCCCUAAAUUGACUGCUGGUAUCAAAUAUUCAG